GGGUGCGAUCAUACCAGAACUAAUGCACCGGAUCCCAUCAGAACUUCGAAGUUAAACGUGCUUGUGCGAGAGUAGUACUAAGAUGGGUGACCUCUUGGGAAGUCCUCGUGUUGCACCCU
RNAcentral lists this ribosomal RNA (119 nucleotides) under Ricinus communis (castor bean). The record is from RNAcentral. Lineage: Eukaryota; Viridiplantae; Streptophyta; Magnoliopsida; Malpighiales; Euphorbiaceae.